GUGGGGAAUAUUGGACAAUGGGCGAAAGCCUGAUCCAGCCAUGCCGCGUGUGUGAAGAAGGUCUUCGGAUUGUAAAGCACUUUAAGUUGGGAGGAAGGGCAGUAAGUUAAUACCUUGCUGUUUUGACGUUACCGACAGAAUAAGCACCGGCUAACUUCGUGCCAGCAGCCGCGGUAAUACGAAGGGUGCAAGCGUUAAUCGGAAUUACUGGGCGUAAAGCGCGCGUAGGUGGUUUUGUAAGUUGGAGGUGAAAUCACCGGGCUCAACCUGGGAACUGCCUCCAAAACUGCAUGACUAGAGUACGGUAGAGGGUAGUGGAAUUUCCUGUGUAGCGGUGAAAUGCGUAGAUAUAGGAAGGAACACCAGUGGCGAAGGCGACUACCUGGACUGAUACUGACACUGAGGUGCGAAAGCGUGGGGAGCAAACAGGAUUAGAAACCCCUGUAGUCC
RNAcentral lists this ribosomal RNA (450 nucleotides) under uncultured bacterium. Its description in RNAcentral is "partial 16S ribosomal RNA". It matches the Rfam family "Bacterial small subunit ribosomal RNA", at positions 354 to 796 of the family's 1533-position model. The record is from RNAcentral.